AUGAAAGUGGUUCUAUGGAGACUUGCUCACGACUGCCUCCCAUCCGGUGUCCAACUCCAUCGUUGUCAUGUGUCGACGUCUGACUUGUGCUGUUUUUGUGGCAAAAUGGAAGGUAUUGAGCACUCGUUGUUCUGUCCUUUUGCUUAUGAGGUCUGGUCGCAGGUGAAGCAAUCUUUUGACAUCAAGUUAUGGCGGUCUAAUUUUUCUUGGCCAAGACAGUGGCUCUUCGAUUUCCUCUCACGUUCUUCCGACUUAAUGGCUAUAGUCAUGGUUGUGACUAUUUGGCAUAUUUGGGAGGCGUGGAAUUCUGUACGAAACAAUGAAGAUGAGCUGCACCCUGUUCGUACUGCUUUCAAGAGUAAAUCUGAUGUUUAUCUGAUCGUUUUACAUCUAUACAAACCAGACCCUGCGCAUAGGCGUGAGAGCAUUGCUUUAAGCACUGCUUGGUCUCUGCCGCCACCAGGUUUCCUUUUAUUCAUGUCUGAUGCUGCGAUCUUCUCUGAGCUAGGGAAGGUUGGUGCAGGGGUGGUCGCUCUAAAUUCUAAUCGUCAAUGUGUUUUUGCCUGCCGAGAAGCUACCAAUGGAAGGCAUGUUCCUGAAUUGGCCGAGGCCUUGGCUCUUUGCCGAGCUGUUUAUCUUGCACGAGAGGAAGGAUGCGACUCGGUAAUCUUCGCCUCCGAUUGCCUUUCCCUGGUGCAGAGGGUCAAUUCUCCUGUCCGCGAUCGUUCACUGGUGGGCUCAGUGGUGUCGGACAUCAAAUAUGGCGCGUCGAGCUUCUCUUCUGUGUUGUUCAAGCAUAUUCAUCGGCAG
Molecule: ribosomal RNA, 810 nt
Filed under: Triticum aestivum (bread wheat)
Lineage: Eukaryota; Viridiplantae; Streptophyta; Magnoliopsida; Poales; Poaceae
Description: partial small subunit ribosomal RNA
Source: RNAcentral